ACCCAACUGACGAGUCCUAAAUGGAAUGAAAUGCUCAUCCUGGAU
Non-coding RNA from Schistosoma rodhaini, 45 nucleotides. NCBI's taxonomy places the organism in Eukaryota, Metazoa, Platyhelminthes, Trematoda, Strigeidida, Schistosomatidae. The record is from Rfam.